CCCAAACCAUUUCUCCCUGACCCCUCCGCCGCCACCCUUCCUCUCCACCGGGUCCGCGCGUGGCGGCGGCCUCCGCAGCGUCCUCCGCCGCCGCCGGGUCCGCCACACCUUCUGCGUCCUCACGCCGCUCUCCGACCCCAACUCCCUGACGCCCUGCGCCACCAAGACCGCGACGCCCUUCGCCAUCACGUGCCAACUAAGAUCCACGACAAGAUGGCUCUUGGUCGGAAGCGGGGAACAAGCAAGCUACCGGCAGAGGAGCUGCUUACAGAAUAUGAAAGAGAGAGGGCCCAAACUAUGAUGAGGAACAACCAAGUGUUGCAAAGCCUUGGUGUCACACAAUUGGCUUCUAUUCUCAACAGCUCUUCAAAUGCAAAGAGCAAGGGCGUCGCUCGUGAGGAUUCGGGUUCUUUGUACGAACCGGCUGGUGAUGAGGAGGACAUUGAACAUGGUGUGGUUGAUAAGGUUUCAGAUACGAGGAGUGCAAUCAGAGCCACUUGAGGAACAAGAGGGACAAAGAGAGUCUCAGCAGUACCUAUUGAACAAGACCUACCUGCAAGAGUGACCAGGAAGAGAGCAAGAGACCAAUUGUCUAGUGAGGAAGGUAUUAAUGGCACAUCUACGAAUGAAGUGGAUGGUGCAGUUGUUGCUGCUCCAGCUGCUCCUGGAGAAGCUGAUGAGGAGGAGCUCAUGGACAAUGAA
This is a long non-coding RNA of Panicum virgatum (switchgrass), 702 nucleotides long. RefSeq lists it as uncharacterized. The transcript is spliced from 3 exons. Lineage: Eukaryota; Viridiplantae; Streptophyta; Magnoliopsida; Poales; Poaceae. The record is from RefSeq and is a predicted model, not a curated record.